This 865-nucleotide long non-coding RNA is filed under the name Cricetulus griseus (Chinese hamster). RNAcentral's name for it is "lncRNA (ENSCGRG00015035663.1)". Lineage: Eukaryota; Metazoa; Chordata; Mammalia; Rodentia; Cricetidae. The record is from RNAcentral.
GCCAAUCGGAAGUUAGCUGGUGGCGCUAUGCUUUACGACCCUGGGUGUGCUUUACGGACAAGCGCACGACAAUGACGUAGAGAGCAUAGCAACCACCCUGGGAGGGCCUAUGAGCCAUAACAACCAGUUGACCAAUCAACACAGGGCAAGCCCUCCAAGCCUGGAGGCACACCAAUCGUGAGCCUGUGCGUACCCCUAGACACUCCCCUUACGCUGCCCUAUAAGAUCUUUUGGGAGACCCAAGGAGCCGUCUUUUUCUAGCCGUCUGCCAUGGCGGGUGGGUGAAAGACCCGAGCUAACAUGGGGUUAGUUCGUUAAAUUACAAUAAAGCCUCAUGCAGUUUGCAUCAAGCUUUCGCCUCCAUUCUGUGUUUGGGGUGGCCGCCGUCCUGGACUAAGAUUCUGAAAGCCUCAGCUUUCUGAGGGUCUUACAUUUUGGGGGCUCGUCCUGGAUUUGCGACCACCCCUCACCUGAGUGGAGUCGAUCUUGGAGGGGUCUUUUCUUGAUUCUCUGAGCACGUGGCGCCACCUCAACUAUGAUCGGCAGAUGCACCCGGAGGACAGACUGCCACUCUGAGGACACCCAGGACCCAGGAGUUUAUAAUGUCAGACAGACUGCCAGAUCCGGACAGUGACCCAAAGUCUCCAAAGAAGAUUACGAGGCACCUCAGUUCCUGCACCUGGACCAGUGAGCGAGAUGCUCAGAUGUGAAACCUGCCGCCUGCCAGAACCUGGCCGAGACUGUGGACAAAGCUGCUGGACACUGGAAAAUUGAUUGCACCCCUUUGCCUAGACAAAACAAGAGUGCUAGGUUUAAAUGCAUGUGCCGCCAUGCACCGGAUGAAGCUACAUUCUAAACAGCUACC